GACCAAUGAUGAUAAAUCUUAAGGCUUGUUUCUCAAAACAUUCGCAGUGGCCGCCUAAGAGCUUUCACCUUUCGCCAGGCUUGAGAGUUAAUGCUGCUAGAUCCUUCCUUGGAUGUCUGAGGUC
Molecule: small nucleolar RNA, 124 nt
Filed under: Trifolium pratense (red clover)
Lineage: Eukaryota; Viridiplantae; Streptophyta; Magnoliopsida; Fabales; Fabaceae
Description: snoRNA SNORD14
Rfam family: Small nucleolar RNA SNORD14
About the family: U14 small nucleolar RNA (U14 snoRNA) is required for early cleavages of eukaryotic precursor rRNAs.
Source: Rfam by way of RNAcentral